GAUGAACGCUGGCGGCGUGCCUAAUACAUGCAAGUCGAGCGAACGGACGAGAAGCUUGCUUCUCUGAUGUUAGCGGCGGACGGGUGAGUAACACGUGGAUAACCUACCUAUAAGACUGGGAUAACUUCGGGAAACCGGAGCUAAUACCGGAUGAUAUUUUGAACCGCAUGGUUCAAAAGUGAAAGACGGUCUUGCUGUCACUUAUAGAUGGAUCCGCGCUGCAUUAGCUAGUUGGUAAGGUAACGGCUUACCAAGGCAACGAUGCAUAGCCGACCUGAGAGGAUGAUUGGCCACACUGGAACUGAGACACGGUCCAGACUCCUACGGGAGGCAGCAGUAGGGAAUCUUCCGCAAUGGGCGAAAGCCUGACGGAGCAACGCCGCGUGAGUGAAGAAGGUCUUCGGGUCGUAAAACGCUGUUAGUAGGGAAGAACAGAUGUGUAAGUAACUGUGCACAUCUUGACGGUACCUAAUCAGAAAGCCACGGCUAACUACGUG
Molecule: ribosomal RNA, 497 nt
Filed under: uncultured bacterium
Lineage: Bacteria
Description: partial 16S ribosomal RNA
Rfam family: Bacterial small subunit ribosomal RNA
Source: RNAcentral